UCUGGCAGAAGUGAAUGAACUACGUUAAUUAUCAUGGAUGGGGGCUGGCUGAAGUUACCUUCGCUGGAGACAAUAUGGCAAGACUGGUGGUUAGAUACAAACCUUAAACCCAGUGGUUUCCAACCUUUUUACUACCAAGGAUCCCUUUUGAUAUGCUUAUAUAUAUAUGAAAUUUUGAACUUACUUCACAGACCUCCAUUCCUACCUUUGUAGACCACAGGUUAGGAACCGCUGCUUUAACCAAUCCAUCUGCAGGUUAGCCACCUACCAACUUCAGAUUACCAGUCAUGACACUGGCACUCCUCUAAAAUAUUAUUUUCACUCAAAUUUGAAAAGAAAAGGAAAAGAAAAAUUAAUUUCCUCAAUUCAUGUUUAUUCAGUCUUUCUGAUACAAACCAACCCGAGAUGGCCACUGGUUGUAUCUAAUCUCUAACUCUUAUAUCUAUUUUAAAAUCUUACUUCAUAAUUUUAAACUAAGAACCUUUGUUAUGUUUCAAACAUCAUCUUAAUAUCGAAAUGAAGUAAAGAAGUUGAAGAAAAUUCAAGUUGCUUGUGUCCUAUUGGGAUUAAACAGAAUAUUGUGACAUCUCUGCUAUUGUGGUGUAUGUGACAAGGACAUUAUCCAUAUUUUUAUUCCUGGAAGAUCUCAUGAAGGCACACACUUCAGCAAGACGUUACCCAUGCGAAACAUGUGGCAAAACAUUCUCACAAAAUUCCCAUCUUUCAAGACACAUAAGAACACAUACAGGAGAGAAGCCUUUCCGCUGCGAAGUCUGUGGCAAGGGCUUCCCUGAGAAUUAUACAUUAAAAACCCACAUGAAAACCCACACAGGAGUGAAACCUUUCCAUUGUGAUAUAUGUGAUAAAGACUUUACUGAAAAAGCCACAUUGAUAAAACACACACGCAGCCAUACAGGGCUAAGACCCUACAGCUGUGAAACCUGUGGGGACAGUUUUGCAGAUCAUUCUACUUUAAGAACACACAUAAGAACUCACACAGGAGAGAAACCAUACCAUUGUGAGAUUUGUGGGAAAGACUUUGCAGUCCAUUCUAACUUCAAAAAACACCUUCGAAUCCAUGCCCGACAACAAGAAUUAUUCCAGUGUGAAAAUUGCGGGGAAAAAUUCUCUCAUAGAUUUUAUUUAAUGAAGCAUGUGGAAACACAUGCACCAAAAUCCAUUACACAACUGCGUUGUCAGAUUUGUGGUGACAAUUUUAUUGAUAGUGUUGCUUUGCAAAGUCAUUUAAAGAUUCAUAAUGAUUAGUAGAUAUUUCAGAGACCACUAACUUUCAUAGCAAGAGAUAAAAGGUAUAAAGAUAGAAUUUCUCAAUUAAUUAAUUCAAAGUUACUGUAUUUUCCAGCAUACAAGUUGAAUUUUUCAUACAAAAAUUUACAGCCAAAACUUAUACACCAAGAUGAAUUUGGAGAACCAAAAAUUCCAUGUGAAAUUCAGCAGGAUUUGGAAAGAUAGUGAAGAUGUUUACUCUUUUACUUGUUUCAGUCAUUUGACUGUGGCCAUGCUGGAGCCCCACCUUUAGUCGAGCAAAUUGACUCCAGGACUUAUUCUUUACAUAUGAUGAUGGAGUGCCAAGUAGAAAAAAAAAAAAAUGAGCAUUUUUGACACUUGCUUCUCUUCACUUUCAUUCAAGGUCCUAAAGCUACCAAAGUUGCUCAAGACAUUUGUGCUGUGUAUGGAGAACUGCACAGAAAUGGUUUACAUGCUUCAUGGAGGGUAAUUCAAAUUCACAGACUCUUCACAUUCCUCCCAACCUGUUCAGUUCAAUGAGGAUUGAUUGAAUGAGCUCAUCCAUGUAGAUCUGUGCCAAUCCACUUGAGAAUUGGCCCAGCAGAUGGAAUGCUUUCAUGAUAUCUUCAGUUGUCACUCUCACUUGAGUAAAGUUCAAAAGUUUGCUGCAUGGGUUCCACAUACUCUAAGUGAGACAAACUCCAGCUUCUCUAUCACUGCCAAAUUGUUUGCUUAAUACUAGACAACUUGUGGACACAGAAAUUUCUUCACUGCAUGUCAUCACCAGUGAUGAAAAAUGGUGUCUUUAUGUCAAUAUGCUGUUGAAGAAAGAAAGGCUGAAUACUGACAAGCAACCAACAUCUUGAGCCAAACCAGAGCUGCAUUCAUGUAAGGCAACAAUCUGUGUCUGGUGGGAUUAGGAAGGGAUAAUCUACUACAAAAUGCUUGAAAACAACCACAUGGUCAAUGUAGAGCAUUACAUUCAGCAAAUAGACUGGUUCAUUUUGGGCAAUCCAACUGAAACAACCCAACCAAUGACAUGGUGUUCUUCUUCAACAUGACAACACUCACCUCAUCAUUAUAUUGACCACAAAUACCAUUCAAGAGCUCAAUUGGGAAGUUCUGCUGCACCCAUCAUAUUCUCCUAAUGCUUUCACAUUAUCACCUUUUCUGGUACCUUUCCAUUGUUUGGAAGGCAUUUCAUUCAACAAUGAUGUGGAGCUGAAACUGUUGCUCAGUGUAUUCUUUGAGUCAAGACUUAAUAAUUUACACUGUCUAGGCAUUGAAAAGCUAGUGGGGGCAUUGCCAAGAAGUGAACAAUGAAGGAAAAUAUAUAACUGACUGAUUUGUUAAAAUUAUUGAUUAAAAACUUUUUUUAAAUAAAUUGAAAAAAAUGAAAAUUUAUUUGACAAUCUA
Molecule: long non-coding RNA, 2664 nt
Organism: Octopus bimaculoides (California two-spot octopus)
Lineage: Eukaryota; Metazoa; Mollusca; Cephalopoda; Octopoda; Octopodidae
Source: RefSeq, a predicted model, not a curated record